UAGACCUAGGGGGUUGGGAGUAGAGCAGGGUCUGUAGGUGGGGCCUUGCAGCCUGUCUAGGUGGGGGGUUGCUUUGUCGGUGGCGUGUUCUUUGUGUACGCAUUGACCUUUUCACUUCAGGAAUGAUUUUUUUUCUAAUGAGACUGUCAUCUGUCAUUGAAUCCAAUGUAAACAUCCUUGUGGCUGUUUGAAUAACAUGUUAUAGAUUUGCCUACUAUGCGAGUCAUCUUAAACACCAUUAUUGUUUGAGACAUCCUAUAUAUCCCGUAUAUAUAGAUCAAAGGAUCGCAAAGAGUGCUUUGUUGUUGCAUCUGCGUGCUAUGUGUCAUAUAUUAUCUGCUUGUCUGUGUGUGCAAAUGUGUGUGCUCAUGUGCAUAUAUGUCCAUGUACUCCUGCACACGUGCCUUCAUGCAUGCAUGUGGGGAUGCAACAUAAAGUCUAUGUCUGUGCCGGUAGACAUAAAGCCAGACCCCCACCAUCCCCCUCUUCCUCUUGCCUGGGGAGGAGAUAAGACAGUCUGUCUAUCUGGCUGCUCUCAGCAGGAAGGAGGGGCCAGGUCCCUGGAUGGGAGGUUAUAGAGGUGAUGGGGUAGGGACAGUCUAGGCCGUGUUUACAGGCUGGAUGUGUCAGUGGGGGGUUUAAAGAGGGGGACGGUCACUUCUGGCAUUCUUAUGUUUAUUUAGCCCCAGUAUGGCCUGGAGGCAUGUUGUGCCUAACCUUGAUGAUCCGCAAGAAAGUCACAGUCAAACACAAUUUACACACAAGCUCAGUGGCUUAAAUGCACACACACAAAUGCAUGAGACAGGUAUGUGAGACUGCGUGAUCUCUUUGGAUGUUACAUAACUGAUAAACAACUAGCGCUGACAGAUUCAUAAACACAGUUCUCUGAUCAUCAUCACAAGGAUGUUCAAAGACCUUCAUUUUCCUCGUGUUUAAUUUGGAGCAAAUAUUGAUCCCUGCAGCAGGAGGAUAUUGUCAUGCAAGACUAUCUGUGCUGUUGUUGUGAUUAGUGCUUGUGAUCUGUGGAGAAGCUAGAUCCGUGCAACUCCAUACCAAAAGCGACUGUGCCAAAUGACUUGUACUCUGAUAUAGUGCAGAGUUGCAGCAUCUUAGUGCUUUCAAGGUGUGCACUUUUGGACAGCC
Non-coding RNA from Xyrichtys novacula (pearly razorfish), 1143 nucleotides. NCBI's taxonomy places the organism in Eukaryota, Metazoa, Chordata, Actinopteri, Labriformes, Labridae. The record is from the annotation of a GenBank genome assembly.